This 492-nucleotide ribosomal RNA is filed under the name uncultured bacterium. RNAcentral describes it as "partial 16S ribosomal RNA". It matches the Rfam family "Bacterial small subunit ribosomal RNA", at positions 30 to 507 of the family's 1533-position model. The record is from RNAcentral.
AGUGAACGCUGGCGGUAUGCCUAACACAUGCAAGUCGAACGGCAGCACAGUACUAGCUUGCUCUUACGGGUGGCGAGUGGCGGACGGGUGAGGAAUACACCGCACUCUACUUUUUCGUGGGGGUUAACGUCUGGAUAUUUUCGCUAAUACCGCAUACGACCUACGGGUUAAAGCAGGGGAUCUUUGGAUCUUGCGCGAUUGAAUGAGCCGAUGUCGGUUUGGUUAGUUGGCGGCGUAAAGGCCCACCAAGGCGACGAUCCGUAGCUGGUCUGAGGGGGUGAAGAGCCACACUGGGGGUGAGACACGGUACAGGCUCCUACGGGAGGCAGAGGUGGGGAAUAGAGGAAGAUGGGGGCAAGCCUGAACAAGGCGUGCAGGGUGGGUGAAGAAGGGCUGCGGGUUGUAAGGCGCUUUUGUUGGGAAAGAAAAGCAGCAGGUGGAAAGACGGCUGUUGUGACGGUACCCAAAGAAGAAGCACCGGCUAACUUCGUG